Brassica napus (rape) is the source of this 3834-nucleotide long non-coding RNA. RefSeq lists it as uncharacterized. Lineage: Eukaryota; Viridiplantae; Streptophyta; Magnoliopsida; Brassicales; Brassicaceae. The transcript has 3 exons. The record is from RefSeq and is a predicted model, not a curated record.
AUAGGUGACUGAGCCCUAUGAGUGCAAAUCUGUCCUUGAAGGAUCUCUUCCUCCGCCUCCAAAAUUACAAAACCCAUCCCCAUCCAUUCAUCACUCGCUGCCCACGAGCCAUCUACUUGGCAAGUGUACCGACAAUCCGUUCUAGUAUGUGACGGCGGUAGGGGUUGGUGUCUUUGUAUUCAAGGUUCGUCCUCUUCUGUUAUCUCGUCUCCUUGCUGUGCUACCUUCCAUGUUUCAGCUUCUUGUUGCGCCAGUUGAAGGGUAUCGAGGGGAGAAAUAUCUUUUGCAUUGAAGCACUUCUCGUUCCUUGCCUUCCACACAUACCAAAUCAGCCAAGGAAACAUUGAGAAGCCAUUCCCUCUGUCUGCUGUGGCCACCUGUUACAGUAGAUAUUCAAAAUUCGCAUAUAGGGAAGUACACGGGCAAAGCCCCGGAGGUGUUGGAAUCGGCGAGAGAAACCACCAUUGAAAGGCAGAUGGGCAUUCAAACAGUAUAUGGUUUGUAUCUCAAUCUCAGCUCCACAUCGUUGACAUGUAGUAUCUGUCCCACAAUGCCUUUCGACCAGCUUACUUACCGAAAACACAUAGCCCAAAGGGCUUGCCAAAGGAAGUGUUUGAUCUUUCUUGCCGUCUUUAGUUUCCACACUUGUUUCUUCAAAGGUGUUAUGCUUGGUUCGACUAACGGGUAUUACAAGAUAUUAUUUGUAUCAUCAAAAUCUAUCAUUUUAUAUGGUUAUUCUCAACCAUAUUGACUUUAAAAACUACAAUACACGUGUCACUUUCAGUCAUAUUGGUCUUAGAAUUUUCAUUAUUUUUGCAUGGUCAAUCUUUUUACAAAUUGUAUUAAAGCAUUAACGAAAUAUAAAUGUUUUGAUCAGUAUCAAUAAACAUUUAAUUCCCAUGGCAAAGAGAUUUAUAUGUAUCAGACCUCUUUCAAACUUAAUUUGGGUCGUCGACUCACGAAAACUAUUUCCAUCCAUAUUAUUCGAUCUUUUAAAGAUAAAAAGUAUUGUUUAUAAAAUCAGUAUAUUUCACCAUUGAAACUAAAAUCUUCUUUCUUUUCUGAUGAUCAAAUACUUAAUAAUUAAAUUAAGUUAUUCCAAAUGAUCUGAAACAAGAAAUCAAAAACGUUUAGCAUUCUUGAUAAUUAAAGCAAAACAAUUAUCUUUAACCAAAUCAAAGCAUUUACAUUCUUGACCGAUAAAAAAUCAAGAUACCAAAACGGAAUCUUAAAGUCUAAAACGUUACGACCAUUAAUAUAUUGCAAAAAAAAUAAAAAAUCAACGCAUCAACAUAUAUGUAUAAACUGCAAAAUAGUUAAGCCAAUAUAAUGAAGGAUGAUCAUUGCUUGCUAAAUCAUAAAGCAUAUCAACGAACAAAAAAAGCAUUGAAGAGAUUGUAUUGAUAAAAUGAUACCCAAUGAAUGGGAUCGAAGAUUGAAUAACUAUCAAUCCAUGAGCAGAGUUAUUUAUUCCUCCGAACACCUGUGCUUUCGUUAACAAAUACGUUAGCGAAUUUUAGUAUUAUUAAGAAUAAACAAUCCUUUGACAGAUAACUUUAAAAGAUCUCCAUAGUGAAAAAUAAUCUGAUGGAAAUAGACUGAUUUUCCAAUAAUAAAUUCUUCUUGUUCCUAUUUUUAUUACAAAAUACUUCAUAAAAUAAUCAGUUUUCGUUAGUCUAAUAAUACAAACGAAAAUUUACAAAAUUAAGAUUGUAACAGCAGAUCCAAACCUAUUCCGACACCAAUCUGAGAAUAGUGAUUGGCCUGUUCUUAAAAAAUAACCUCUUACAAAUAUCAUUAAUUAUUAUUAGUGCAAAAGCAUAACCAAUCUAUCUUUAUAUUACAGUUUGCUUCACUCCUAUGCCAUCCACAUGGGAUUCCACAUCAUUAAUUCGAACUCCCAAAACGCGCCACGUGUCCCGGCCAUUUAAAAUGUUGCACUUCAUUUAAUUGGAAAUCUGCUGGGCUUUUUGCAACGCUUUUUCAAAUCGGUAGCGUGAUAUGUGUACUUUGUUUUUUUCUUCUUUACGAUAGACUGUGAUUUUGGUCUGACAGAUUAAAUUAAAUGGGUUUUCUAAAUUUGUUGUGUUUACUGAUCAUAAACAGACACCCUCUCCGACUUCAACAUUUUCAUAUUUUAUUUCUAGGGUUCAUAGUGUUCUUCAUCCUCUGCUUUGGUAAGCUGUCCAUGGAGUUUUUGAACGGUGAUGAUAGAGGACUAUUUACGGAGAAUCUCAGAAGCAAUUUGCCAUACGUGUUUUAAUGCUGGGUAAGGGAAAUUGAAACGUUACGGAUGCAUUCAAUCGUUGUCAUUAACUACCAUCUUAACUCCUUUAUCCUAUUCAUAUCAUGAUCCUCAUUCAAUGCACCUCCCCUCUCUUCAGUCGGUGGAUCUCAUUUAUAAAAAGGUCAGCCGUCAUGCCCUGAACAUCAUCCUUUCAUUCCUUACAAUCCAAAAAAAAAAAUCUGCAGAAUGGUGAUCUCAUCUAUCCUUCUCAAUGAUUUAAACUCAGGUCGCUGUAGGCCAUCGACGAAGUCUGUUUCCUCAAUUUUGGGAGGCGAAGAAUGUGCAGAGAGGCGGCAAGCAUAUCUUUGUCGAUAUGAUUCCUCUUGGCUCGAAGUCGAUGCAACUGAGGACCCCUUUACAUCACUUAAACCAAGAGGAACGAUUGGCUCCCACUACGACACAUUCAAUACCCCUCCCCUUCUCCAUGGUUACAGCAGAAAUCUUCUCCUAUAAAUAAGGAUGUAAUCUUCGAUUGAACUCAUCACUAUGAUGAUAAAGUUUUGGGUUUCAUCCAGGGAUAUGAAUGUGUCUUUGAUAUUGGUAAGCCAUUGCUCUUUUUUCUUUUUGAUUAAUUUUGAUCUAUUGAUUCUUAUGUGUUUGAUGUGAUUUGCUACCUUGCAUUAAUCACAGAGGUACACCAGAACAUCGUAUUAGGACUUUCACACUCAAGAAAGAUAAAGCCAUAUGCGUAAGUAGACAUUCUAAAGGGUCUAUAUGAUUCAAGGAUAUUAUAGGCUGUUCAUGAGGCCUGCUUAGUUACUAACAUAUUUCUAACAAUCCAAUAUUUUCUUGACGGUGGGGUGUUGAAUUUUGUGUCUGUUGGGGACCACAAGAAGAACAUUUGGCUAUGGAGCUAUGUUUCUGCAACUAAAACUAAAAAAUAUAUCUUUCACAGCUCUCUCACUCUGUCGGCGAGAGCGUGCAUAUGCGAGUUUCUUUUGGAAGUGAUCCAAGCCAACAAUCAUGGAUACAAAAUGUUAGAAUCUCUAUCCACUCAGUCAUAAUGAUAUUGGACUCUCCAUUAACACCUAGGAUGUAUGUCAAUUUGCUUUUCCUUUUCGCUUGAAUCAGAUUAGCUAGCUGUCAAAUUAUUCUCAACCAAUUGUUUCUUAAAUAAGGUGCACAUUCGGGUGCAAGACAAGUUAAAAAACGAUCAAUGGAAUCGGCGAAAGAGCGGGAACCUUUGCUUUUGAUCAGAACGUUUGUGUACAUUCCAAUAGACGAAUUCGAAGCUGCAACGAUUUCCCCCGUUCAGGAGUUCCCCUCACGGCAGAGCUUCACUUUGGUUGAAGAUGAUCAUCCAUUUUUAACGUGUUGUUGUCGUAUUAUUUACACUCAAUGAAAAAAACCACCACGAAUUAGUUUUCAUGUUAAUCUUUGAUACAAAAACCAUUGGCUGAUUAUUAUAUCACUGGAAGAGACAUGUCUAACAAUAAUAAUCUCUUUAAAUAGUGUUUUAAUACUUUGGAGUAAGAAGACAAGGAAUUAAAAACUACCUAUGAUUUGGUUAUAGGUUUAAUAUAUAUAUAUAUAUAUUUCAAAUUGUU